This 326-nucleotide ribosomal RNA is filed under the name Scymnus interruptus. Its description in RNAcentral is "partial 16S ribosomal RNA". The record is from RNAcentral. Lineage: Eukaryota; Metazoa; Arthropoda; Insecta; Coleoptera; Coccinellidae.
UAUAAUUUAAAGUAGGGCCUGCCCACUGAGAUUUUGAAGGGCCGCAGUAUCUUAACUGUGCAAAGGUAGCAUAAUCAUUAGUUUUUUAAUUGAAAGCUGGAAUGAAUGGUUUGAUGAAAAAAUUACUGUUUCAGUAUUAAUUUUUUAAAAUUUUAUUUUUAAGUUAAAAAGCUUAAAUAUUAAUAAAAGACGAGAAGACCCUAUAGAGUUUAAUUUAUUUUAAUAUAUUAAUAUUAAGAUUUUAUUUUUUAAUAUAUUAAAAUAAAUUUGGUUGGGGUGAUUUAAAAAUUGAAUUAACUUUUUAUAUAUUUAUACAUUAAUUUAUG